Molecule: small nuclear RNA, 104 nt
Filed under: Catagonus wagneri (Chacoan peccary)
Lineage: Eukaryota; Metazoa; Chordata; Mammalia; Artiodactyla; Tayassuidae
Source: RNAcentral
GUGCUCGCUUCAGCAGCACAUAUGCUAAAAUUGGAACGAUACAGAGAUUACUAUGGCCCCUGUGCAAGAAUGACACGCGAAUUUAUGAUGCAUUCCAUAUUUUU